This 492-nucleotide ribosomal RNA is filed under the name uncultured bacterium. Its description in RNAcentral is "partial 16S ribosomal RNA". It matches the Rfam family "Bacterial small subunit ribosomal RNA", at positions 29 to 507 of the family's 1533-position model. The record is from RNAcentral.
AGUGAACGCUGGCGGUAGGCCUAACACAUGCAAGUCGAACGGCAGCACAGUAAGAGCUUGCUCUUACGGGUGGCGAGUGGCGGACGGGUGAGGAAUACAUCGGAAUCUACUUUUUCGUGGGGGAUAACGUAGGGAAACUUACGCUAAUACCGCAUACGACCUACGGGUGAAAGCAGGGGAUCUUCGGACCUUGCGCGAUUGAAUGAGCCGAUGUCGGAUUAGCUAGUUGGCGGGGUAAAGGCCUACCAAGGCGACGAUCCGUAGCUGGUCUGAGAGGAUGAUCAGCCACACUGGAACUGAGACACGGUCCAGACUCCUACGGGAGGCAGCAGUGGGGAAUAUUGGACAGUGGGCGCAAGCCUGAUCCAGCCAUACCGCGUGGGUGAAGAAGGCCUUCGGGUUGUAAAGCCCUUUUGUUGGGAAAGAAAAGCAGCAGGUUAAUACCCCGCUGUUCUGACGGUACCCAAAGAAUAAGCACCGGCUAACUUCGUG